Molecule: long non-coding RNA, 230 nt
Filed under: Gossypium barbadense (sea-island cotton)
Lineage: Eukaryota; Viridiplantae; Streptophyta; Magnoliopsida; Malvales; Malvaceae
Description: long non-coding RNA (GBAR_LNC005925)
Source: RNAcentral
CUGACAGGAAAUUUGCCCAUAGAUUUUCCAUCUUGGUGAGGACUGUGUUAAAAACUGGUUCCUAGCUUGAGUUGGCUUGGCAUGACAAAGCAGUAUAACUAUGUUUUUAUCAAUUACCAGUAGGAGCCAAUGAACGGAGUAGGUUCGGAUUUCCGACCGAACAAGGGAGAGAGGAGGUUAAAGAUCAACAAUUGGAUUGUUAAAAUAUUAGUCAUAUAAAAAUAUAAAAG